GUGGCGGACGGGUGAGUAAUGUCUGGGAAACUGCCUGAUGGAGGGGGAUAACUACUGGAAACGGUGGCUAAUACCGCAUAACGUCGCAAGACCAAAGAGGGGGACCUUCGGGCCUCUUGCCAUCAGAUGUGCCCAGAUGGGAUUAGCUUGUUGGUGAGGUAACGGCUCACCAAGGCGACGAUCCCUAGCUGGUCUGAGAGGAUGACCAGCCACACUGGAACUGAGACACGGUCCAGACUCCUACGGGAGGCAGCAGUGGGGAAUAUUGCACAAUGGGCGCAAGCCUGAUGCAGCCAUGCCGCGUGUAUGAAGAAGGCCUUCGGGUUGUAAAGUACUUUCAGCGGGGAGGAAGGUGUUGUGGUUAAUAACCGCAGCAAUUGACGUUACCCGCAGAAGAAGCACCGGCUAACUCCGUGCCAGCAGCCGCGGUAAUACGGAGGGUGCAAGCGUUAAUCGGAAUUACUGGGCGUAAAGCGCACGCAGGCGGUCUGUCAAGUCGGAUGUGAAAUCCCCGGGCUCAACCUGGGAACUGCAUUCGAAACUGGCAGGCUUGAGUCUUGUAGAGGGGGGUAGAAUUCCAGGUGUAGCGGUGAAAUGCGUAGAGAUCUGGAGGAAUACCGGUGGCGAAGGCGGCCCCCUGGACAAAGACUGACGCUCAGGUGCGAAAGCGUGGGGAGCAAACAGGAUUAGAUACCCUGGUAGUCCACGCCGUAAACGAUGUCUACUUGGAGGUUGUGCCCUUGAGGCGUGGCUUCCGGAGCUAACGCGUUAAGUAGACCGCCUGGGGAGUACGGCCGCAAGGUUAAAACUCAAAUGAAUUGACGGGGGCCCGCACAAGCGGUGGAGCAUGUGGUUUAAUUCGAUGCAACGCGAAGAACCUUACCUGGUCUUGACAUCCACAGAAGAAUCCAGAGAUGGAUUUGUGCCUUCGGGAACUGUGAGACAGGUGCUGCAUGGCUGUCGUCAGCUCGUGUUGUGAAAUGUUGGGUUAAGUCCCGCAACGAGCGCAACCCUUAUCCUUUGUUGCCAGCGGUUAGGCCGGGAACUCAAAGGAGACUGCCAGUGAUAAACUGGAGGAAGGUGGGGAUGACGUCAAGUCAUCAUGGCCCUUACGACCAGGGCUACACACGUGCUACAAUGGCGCAUACAAAGAGAAGCGACCUCGCGAGAGCAAGCGGACCUCAUAAAGUGCGUCGUAGUCCGGAUUGGAGUCUGCAACUCGACUCCAUGAAGUCGGAAUCGCUAGUAAUCGUGGAUCAGAAUGCCACGGUGAAUACGUUCCCGGGCCUUGUACACACCGCCCGUCACACCAUGGGAGUGGGUUGCAAAAGAAGUAGGUAGCUUAACCUUCGGGAGGGCGCUUACCACUUUGUGAUUCAUGACUGGGGUGAAGUCGUAACAAGGUAACCGUAGGGGAACCUGCGGUUGGAUCACCUCCUUACCUUAAAGAA
RNAcentral lists this ribosomal RNA (1451 nucleotides) under Salmonella enterica subsp. enterica serovar Enteritidis. RNAcentral's name for it is "bacterial SSU rRNA". It matches the Rfam family "Bacterial small subunit ribosomal RNA". Lineage: Bacteria; Pseudomonadati; Pseudomonadota; Gammaproteobacteria; Enterobacterales; Enterobacteriaceae. The record is from RNAcentral.